RNAcentral lists this transfer RNA (74 nucleotides) under Proteromonas lacertae. RNAcentral describes it as "tRNA-Leu". It matches the Rfam family "tRNA". From Rfam's summary of the family: Transfer RNA (tRNA) molecules are approximately 80 nucleotides in length. Their secondary structure includes four short double-helical elements and three loops (D, anti-codon, and T loops). The record is from RNAcentral. Lineage: Eukaryota; Bigyra; Opalinata; Proteromonadidae.
ACCAGAAUGAUGUAAUUGGUAAACAUACUGUAUUUAGGUUGCAGUUUCUGGGGGUUCAAGUCCUCUUUCUGGUA